UGCUUACUUCGGCAGUAAUACACUAAAAUUGGAAAUAUAAGGAGAAGAUAAGCAUGGCCCCUGUGCUAGAUUGACAUGCAAAUUUGUGAAAGCAUUCCAUAUUUUU
Pteropus vampyrus (large flying fox) is the source of this 106-nucleotide small nuclear RNA. Lineage: Eukaryota; Metazoa; Chordata; Mammalia; Chiroptera; Pteropodidae. The record is from Ensembl.